UGAAGGGUUAAGGCUCCCAGUAGACGACUGGGUUGAUAGGCCAGAUGUGGAAGCCCGGUAACGGGUGGAGCUGACUGGUACUAAUAGGCCGAGGGCUUGUCCUCAGUUG
Molecule: ribosomal RNA, 109 nt
Filed under: Streptomyces sp. col6
Lineage: Bacteria; Bacillati; Actinomycetota; Actinomycetes; Kitasatosporales; Streptomycetaceae
Description: partial 23S ribosomal RNA
Rfam family: Bacterial large subunit ribosomal RNA
Source: RNAcentral